GUGGGGAAUCUUCCACAAUGGACGAAAGUCUGAUGGAGCAACGCCGCGUGAGUGAAGAAGGGUUUCGGCUCGUAAAGCUCUGUUGUCGGGGACGAAUGUGCAGUAUUUGAAUAAAGUAGUGCAAUGACGGUACCUGACGAGGAAGCCACGGCUAACUACGUGCCAGCAGCCGCGGUAAUACGUAGGUGGCAAGCGUUGUCCGGAAUUAUUGGGCGUAAAGGGAGCGCAGGCGGGAAGGUAAGUCGGUCUUAAAAGUGCGGGGCUCAACCCCGUGAUGGGAUCGAAACUAUCUUUCUUGAGUGCAGGAGAGGAAAGUGGAAUUCCAAGUGUAGCGGUGAAAUGCGUAGAGAUUUGGAAGAACACCAGUGGCGAAGGCGACUUUCUGGACGAUGUCUGACGCUGAGGCGCGAAAGCUAGGGGAGCGAACGGGAUUAGAAACCCGUGUAGUCC
RNAcentral lists this ribosomal RNA (450 nucleotides) under uncultured bacterium. RNAcentral describes it as "partial 16S ribosomal RNA". It matches the Rfam family "Bacterial small subunit ribosomal RNA", at positions 354 to 796 of the family's 1533-position model. The record is from RNAcentral.